UGCAGAGGUCUCAAGCGUUGUUCGGAUUCAUUGGGCGUAAAGGGUGCGUAGGCGGCGCGGUAAGUCGGGUGUGAAAUCUCGGAGCUUAACUCCGAAACUGCAUUUGAUACUGCCUUGCUUGAGGACUGGAGAGGAGACUGGAAUUCACGGUGUAGCAGUGAAAUGCGUAGAGAUCGUGAGGAAGACCAGUGGCGAAGGCGGGUCUCUGGACAGUUCCUGACACUGAGGCACGAAGGCCAGGGGAGCAAACGGG
This 253-nucleotide ribosomal RNA is filed under the name uncultured bacterium. RNAcentral's name for it is "partial 16S ribosomal RNA". It matches the Rfam family "Bacterial small subunit ribosomal RNA", at positions 524 to 776 of the family's 1533-position model. The record is from RNAcentral.